RNAcentral lists this long non-coding RNA (230 nucleotides) under Hordeum vulgare. Its description in RNAcentral is "long non-coding RNA (HVUL_LNC011957)". Lineage: Eukaryota; Viridiplantae; Streptophyta; Magnoliopsida; Poales; Poaceae. The record is from RNAcentral.
UAGGAUUAAUGACAAGCGCCAUGAUAGCAUAAUCCGUAGGAAAAGGUUUAGGUGAAGUCCAAACCAAGAUAGCUCAAUGAAGAAAUCAUGGGUUGAAAUAUCUCAUGAUCAAAGAAUCGGUGGAUUUAAUUAUCUCAUUCUUGAAAGGAAAUCUCUUCGAGGCUCCUACACUAACAAGAAGGCUAUAAUACCACCUCAAAGGAUAAAGGAAGAACAAUUGCACAUAUAAA